This 72-nucleotide transfer RNA is filed under the name Camelus dromedarius (Arabian camel). It matches the Rfam family "tRNA". Rfam says of the family: Transfer RNA (tRNA) molecules are approximately 80 nucleotides in length. Their secondary structure includes four short double-helical elements and three loops (D, anti-codon, and T loops). The record is from Rfam by way of RNAcentral. RNAcentral also lists the same sequence under 2 other names. Lineage: Eukaryota; Metazoa; Chordata; Mammalia; Artiodactyla; Camelidae.
GAGAGUAUAGCUCAGUGGUAAAGCACAUGCUUAGCAUGCACGAGGUCCUGGGUUCAAUCCCCAGUACCUCCA